GCACCAGUAGCUUAGCUGGAUAGAGCACUCGGCUACGAACCGAGAGGUCGGGGAUUCGAAUUCCUCCUGGUGCACCA
This 77-nucleotide transfer RNA is filed under the name Clostridium sp. CAG:1219. RNAcentral describes it as "transfer RNA-Arg(ACG)". It matches the Rfam family "tRNA". From Rfam's summary of the family: Transfer RNA (tRNA) molecules are approximately 80 nucleotides in length. Their secondary structure includes four short double-helical elements and three loops (D, anti-codon, and T loops). RNAcentral also lists the same sequence under 6 other names. Lineage: Bacteria; Bacillati; Bacillota; Clostridia; Eubacteriales; Clostridiaceae. The record is from RNAcentral.